GAUUAAGUUAUUAAGGGCGCACGGUGGAUGCCUUGGCACUAGAAGCCGAUGAAGGACGUUACUAACGACGAUAUGCUUUGGGGAGCUGUAAGUAAGCUUUGAUCCAGAGAUUUCCGAAUGGGGAAACCCAGCAUGAGUUAUGUCAUGUUAUCGAUAUGUGAAUACAUAGCAUAUCAGAAGGCACACCCGGAGAACUGAAACAUCUUAGUACCCGGAGGAAGAGAAAGAAAAUUCGAUUCCCUUAGUAGCGGCGAGCGAAACGGGAAGAGCCCAAACCAACAAGCUUGCUUGUUGGGGUUGUAGGACACUCUAUACGGAGUUACAAAGGACGACAUUAGACGAAUCAUCUGGAAAGAUGAAUCAAAGAAGGUAAUAAUCCUGUAGUCGAAAAUGUUGUCUCUCUUGAGUGGAUCCUGAGUACGACGGAGCACGUGAAAUUCCGUCGGAAUCUGGGAGGACCAUCUCCUAAGGCUAAAUACUCUCUAGUGACCGAUAGUGAACCAGUACCGUGAGGGAAAGGUGAAAAGCACCCCGGAAGGGGAGUGAAAUAGAACCUGAAACCGUGUGCUUACAAGUAGUCAGAGCCCGUUAAUGGGUGAUGGCGUGCCUUUUGUAGAAUGAACCGGCGAGUUACGAUUUGAUGCAAGGUUAAGCAGUAAAUGUGGAGCCGUAGCGAAAGCGAGUCUGAAUAGGGCGUUUAGUAUUUGGUCGUAGACCCGAAACCAGGUGAUCUACCCUUGGUCAGGUUGAAGUUCAGGUAACACUGAAUGGAGGACCGAACCGACUUACGUUGAAAAGUGAGCGGAUGAACUGAGGGUAGCGGAGAAAUUCCAAUCGAACCUGGAGAUAGCUGGUUCUCUCCGAAAUAGCUUUAGGGCUAGCCUCAAGUGAUGAUUAUUGGAGGUAGAGCACUGUUUGGACGAGGGGCCCCUCUCGGGUUACCGAAUUCAGACAAACUCCGAAUGCCAAUUAAUUUAACUUGGGAGUCAGAACAUGGGUGAUAAGGUCCGUGUUCGAAAGGGAAACAGCCCAGACCACCAGCUAAGGUCCCAAAAUAUAUGUUAAGUGGAAAAGGAUGUGGCGUUGCCCAGACAACUAGGAUGUUGGCUUAGAAGCAGCCAUCAUUUAAAGAGUGCGUAAUAGCUCACUAGUCGAGUGACACUGCGCCGAAAAUGUACCGGGGCUAAACAUAUUACCGAAGCUGUGGAUUGUCCUUUGGACAAUGGUAGGAGAGCGUUCUAAGGGCGUUGAAGCAUGAUCGUAAGGACAUGUGGAGCGCUUAGAAGUGAGAAUGCCGGUGUGAGUAGCGAAAGACGGGUGAGAAUCCCGUCCACCGAUUGACUAAGGUUUCCAGAGGAAGGCUCGUCCGCUCUGGGUUAGUCGGGUCCUAAGCUGAGGCCGACAGGCGUAGGCGAUGGAUAACAGGUUGAUAUUCCUGUACCACCUAUAAUCGUUUUAAUCGAUGGGGGGACGCAGUAGGAUAGGCGAAGCGUGCGAUUGGAUUGCACGUCUAAGCAGUAAGGCUGAGUAUUAGGCAAAUCCGGUACUCGUUAAGGCUGAGCUGUGAUGGGGAGAAGACAUUGUGUCUUCGAGUCGUUGAUUUCACACUGCCGAGAAAAGCCUCUAGAUAGAAAAUAGGUGCCCGUACCGCAAACCGACACAGGUAGUCAAGAUGAGAAUUCUAAGGUGAGCGAGCGACUCUCGUUAAGGAACUCGGCAAAAUGACCCCGUAACUUCGGGAGAAGGGGUGCUCUUUAGGGUUAACGCCCAGAAGAGCCGCAGUGAAUAGGCCCAAGCGACUGUUUAUCAAAAACACAGGUCUCUGCUAAACCGUAAGGUGAUGUAUAGGGGCUGACGCCUGCCCGGUGGCUGGAAGGUUAAGAGGAGUGGUUAGCUUCUGCGAAGCUACGAAUCGAAGCCCCAGUAAACGGCGGCCGUAACUAUAACGGUCCUAAGGUAGCGAAAUUCCUUGUCGGGUAAGUUCCGACCCGCACGAAAGGCGUAACGAUUUGGGCACUGUCUCAACGAGAGACUCGGUGAAAUCAUAGUACCUGUGAAGAUGCAGGUUACCCGCGACAGGACGGAAAGACCCCGUGGAGCUUUACUGUAGCCUGAUAUUGAAAUUCGGCACAGCUUGUACAGGAUAGGUAGGAGCCUUUGAAACGUGAGCGCUAGCUUACGUGGAGGCGCUGGUGGGAUACUACCCUAGCUGUGUUGGCUUUCUAACCCGCACCACUUAUCGUGGUGGGAGACAGUGUCAGGCGGGCAGGUUUGGACUGGGGCGGUUCGCCUCCUAAAAGGUAACGGAGGCGCUCAAAGGUUCCCUCAGAAUGGUUGGAAAUCAUUCAUAGAGUGUAAAGGCAUAAGGGAGCUUGACUGCGAGACCUACAAGUCGAGCAGGGUCGAAAGACGGACUUAGUGAUCCGGUGGUUCCGCAUGGAAGGGCCAUCGCUCAACGGAUAAAAGCUACCCCGGGGAUAACAGGCUUAUCUCCCCCAAGAGUUCACAUCGACGGGGAGGUUUGGCACCUCGAUGUCGGCUCAUCGCAUCCUGGGGCUGUAGUCGGUCCCAAGGGUUGGGCUGUUCGCCCAUUAAAGCGGUACGCGAGCUGGGUUCAGAACGUCGUGAGACAGUUCGGUCCCUAUCCGUCGUGGGCGUAGGAAAUUUGAGAGGAGCUGUCCUUAGUACGAGAGGACCGGGAUGGACAUACCUCUGGUGUACCAGUUGUCGUGCCAACGGCAUAGCUGGGUAGCUAUGUGUGGACGGGAUAAGUGCUGAAAGCAUCUAAGCAUGAAGCCCCCCUCAAGAUGAGAUUUCCCAACUUCGGUUAUAAGAUCCCUCAAAGAUGAUGAGGUUAAUAGGUUCGAGGUGGAAGCAUGGUGACAUGUGGAGCUGACGAAUACUAAUCGAUCGAAGACUUAAUCAA
This 2926-nucleotide ribosomal RNA is filed under the name Staphylococcus aureus. RNAcentral's name for it is "bacterial LSU rRNA". It matches the Rfam family "Bacterial large subunit ribosomal RNA". The record is from RNAcentral. Lineage: Bacteria; Bacillati; Bacillota; Bacilli; Caryophanales; Staphylococcaceae.